Molecule: long non-coding RNA, 798 nt
Organism: Dermacentor silvarum
Lineage: Eukaryota; Metazoa; Arthropoda; Arachnida; Ixodida; Ixodidae
Exons: 3
Source: RefSeq, a predicted model, not a curated record
UGCCUAGAAGCAUCCGCUAGCCCAAGACAAGCAUGCACGUUGCGCGGGAGCGGCCGCAUACAAGAAUUCGCGGUGAGAACGUCGUCGACCGCAUUACCGCCAACCCACAAAGGACUGCGAUCUCAAGGCCUUGCUCCUUCAGCUGUAGCGCGACGUGAGCCCUGCCAUUUCACUUUCAAGAUACGUAAGCUGCUUCGACCCUGAAAAUGCCGACGCAAUGGUGCAUCUGAACAGCCAAUGGAUACCAUGCCCACUCUGUAACGACCAGUGCUUUUAAUGAAACAGCACAGCAGAAUAGUCAACCACGUGAGGCACCUCAGACAGCAUAUGCAGUGGGUUGUGACGGAUUUAAUGAUUUCAUCAGCAUUUUCACUGGAUGCAAGGCUGUGAAUCUCUUGUAUGAUGCAUGUGUGGAAAAGAAACCCAACAUCCGGUGCACAUGCCUGCUUGAAACAGUCGGGCAUAUCCCAUUAGUUGAGUGCCCCCGUGUCGGCAUUUGCUGAUGUGAUCCCAGCUAUCUUCACCCAUUACAUUCUGCUGAAUUUACUGCAGCCACCCUUUGGAAAAAUAACACAUGGCAAUUAUUUCAAGGUAAUUAGUUCUCCCAUACAGAAAAAAUACCAUUAGCAGUACUCGUGGGUGAUAAUCUGCCACUUUGCAAUGGUGGCGAGCAUAAAUACCACUAGCUGUAGUAACACCAGUUUUGAAAUUAGGAAGCAACUUUCUUGCAGCUAGACUUUAUGUGUACUAUGUUUCAUGCAACGUCAGUGUUCAGAAUAAAAGCAUUUGACCACUGCA